UACGUAGGGGGCAAGCGUUGUCCGGAUUUAUUGGGCGUAAAGAGCGUGUAGGCGGCCAGACAAGUCUGCUGUGAAAACUCGAGGCUCAACCUCGAGCUGUCGGUGGAAACUGUCUGGCUAGAGUCCGGAAGAGGAGAGUGGAAUUCCUGGUGUAGCGGUGAAAUGCGCAGAUAUCAGGAAGAACACCAAUGGCGAAAGCAGCUCUCUGGGACGGUACUGACGCUGAGACGCGAAAGCGUGGGGAGCGAACAGG
RNAcentral lists this ribosomal RNA (253 nucleotides) under uncultured bacterium. Its description in RNAcentral is "partial 16S ribosomal RNA". It matches the Rfam family "Bacterial small subunit ribosomal RNA", at positions 524 to 776 of the family's 1533-position model. The record is from RNAcentral.